GAUGAACGCUGACAGAAUGCUUAACACAUGCAAGUCUACUUGAACUUCGGUUUGGGUGGCGGACGGGUGAGUAACGCGUACAGAACUUGCCUCACAGUUAGGGACAACAUUUGGAAACGAAUGCUAAUACCUGAUAUUAUGAUUUUAGGGCAUCCUAGGAUUAUGAAAGCUAUAUGUGCUGUGAGAGAGCUUUGCGUCCCAUUAGCUAGUUGGAGAGGUAACGGCUCACCAAGGCGAUGAUGGGUAGCCGGCCUGAGAGGGUGAACGGCCACAAGGGGACUGAGACACGGCCCUUACUCCUACGGGAGGCAGCAGUGGGGAAUAUUGGACAAUGGACCAAAAGUCUGAUCCAGCAAUUCUGUGUGCACGAUGACGUUUUUCGGAAUGUAAAGUGCUUUCAGUUGGGAAGAAAAAAAUGACGGUACCAACAGAAGAAGUGACGGCUAAAUACGUG
This 454-nucleotide ribosomal RNA is filed under the name uncultured bacterium. RNAcentral's name for it is "partial 16S ribosomal RNA". It matches the Rfam family "Bacterial small subunit ribosomal RNA", at positions 28 to 507 of the family's 1533-position model. The record is from RNAcentral.